RNAcentral lists this ribosomal RNA (452 nucleotides) under Neisseria meningitidis. RNAcentral describes it as "bacterial SSU rRNA". It matches the Rfam family "Bacterial small subunit ribosomal RNA", at positions 30 to 476 of the family's 1533-position model. The record is from RNAcentral. Lineage: Bacteria; Pseudomonadati; Pseudomonadota; Betaproteobacteria; Neisseriales; Neisseriaceae.
AUUGAACGCUGGCGGCAUGCUUUACACAUGCAAGUCGGACGGCAGCACAGAGAAGCUUGCUUCUUGGGUGGCGAGUGGCGAACGGGUGAGUAACAUAUCGGAACGUACCGAGUAGUGGGGGAUAACUGAUCGAAAGAUCAGCUAAUACCGCAUACGUCUUGAGAGGGAAAGCAGGGGACCUUCGGGCCUUGCGCUAUUCGAGCGGCCGAUAUCUGAUUAGCUAGUUGGUGGGGUAAAGGCCUACCAAGGCGACGAUCAGUAGCGGGUCUGAGAGGAUGAUCCGCCACACUGGGACUGAGACACGGCCCAGACUCCUACGGGAGGCAGCAGUGGGGAAUUUUGGACAAUGGGCGCAAGCCUGAUCCAGCCAUGCCGCGUGUCUGAAGAAGGCCUUCGGGUUGUAAAGGACUUUUGUCAGGGAAGAAAAGGCUGUUGCUAAUAUCAUCAGCUGA